GUGCUCGCUUUGCCAGCACGUAUACUAAGACUGGAACGAUACAGAGAUGAUCAGCACGGCCCCCUGCGCAAGGAUGACACGCAAAUCCGUGAAGUGUUCCAUAUGUUU
Chionomys nivalis (European snow vole) is the source of this 108-nucleotide small nuclear RNA. The record is from RefSeq and is a predicted model, not a curated record. Lineage: Eukaryota; Metazoa; Chordata; Mammalia; Rodentia; Cricetidae.